This 376-nucleotide ribosomal RNA is filed under the name uncultured bacterium. RNAcentral's name for it is "bacterial SSU rRNA". It matches the Rfam family "Bacterial small subunit ribosomal RNA", at positions 524 to 898 of the family's 1533-position model. The record is from RNAcentral.
GACGGAGGUGGCAAGCGUUAUUCGGAUUUAUUGGGCGUAAAGGGCGCGUAGGCGGUUUGGUAAGUCUGAUGUGAAAUCUCCAUCGCUCAACGAGGAAAUUGCAUCGGAUACUGCCAAUCUUGAGUAUGGAAGAGGUAAGUAGAAUUCCAGGUGUAGCGGUGGAAUGCGUAGAUAUCUGGAGGAAUACCGGUGGCGAAGGCGGCUUACUGGUCCAUAACUGACGCUGAGGCGCGAAAGCGUGGGGAGCAAACAGGAUUAGAUACCCUGGUAGUCCACGCUGUAAACGGUGUACACUAGGUGUGGGAAGAGUCUAUCUUUCCGUGCCGUAGCAAACGCAUUAAGUGUACCGCCUGGGGAGUACGGCCGCAAGGUUGAA